GACGAACGCUGGCGGCGUGCCUAACACAUGCAAGUCGAACGGAGAUGUUUAUUUCGGUAGAUAUCUUAGUGGCGCACGGGUGAGUAACGCGUGAAUAACCUGACCCGAAGAGGGGGAUAACACCUGGAAACAAGUGCUAAUACCGCAUAAGACCACAGACCGGCAUCGGUCAGAGGUCAAAGGAGAAAUCCGCUUUGGGAGGGGUUCGCGUCCCAUUAGGUAGUUGGUGAGGUAACGGCCCACCAAGCCGACGAUGGGUAGCCGAGCUGAGAGGCUGAUCGGCCACACUGGAACUGAGACACGGUCCAGACUCCUACGGGAGGCAGCAGUGGGGAAUAUUGGGCAAUGGGCGCAAGCCUGACCCAGCAACGCCGCGUGAGGGAAGAAGGUUUUCGGAUUGUAAACCUCUGUCGCAGGGGACGAAGGAAGUGACGGUACCCUGUAAGAAAGCCCCGGCUAACUACGUGCCAGCAGCCGCGGUAAU
RNAcentral lists this ribosomal RNA (484 nucleotides) under uncultured bacterium. RNAcentral describes it as "bacterial SSU rRNA". It matches the Rfam family "Bacterial small subunit ribosomal RNA", at positions 28 to 524 of the family's 1533-position model. The record is from RNAcentral.